Molecule: transfer RNA, 78 nt
Filed under: Eubacterium sp. TM05-53
Lineage: Bacteria; Bacillati; Bacillota; Clostridia; Eubacteriales; Eubacteriaceae
Description: tRNA-OTHER
Rfam family: tRNA
About the family: Transfer RNA (tRNA) molecules are approximately 80 nucleotides in length.
Source: RNAcentral
GCGGAUGUGGCGCAUCGGUGGGCGCAUUAGCCUUAUGGAUAAAGGUAUGCUAGGUUCGACUCCUAGCCUUCUGCACCA